ACCUGAGAAGAGUUAGUUUAAUCAACCCCCAACUGGUUACCCAGAGUUUAUGCGUGUGCACGGUGCAUGUAUAAAGACAUUUUCAAUGGAUCGCCGAUUUCACGAGUCACCAUGGAAACUCAAAGCGAAAAAAAGAGAGCGGCGUAUUUCACAGAGGCGGAGUUGGAGGUUUUAAUGCACGCUUAUGAGGAGUUUAAGCCAAUAAUAUUAAAAAAGAAGCAAUACAGCUGCAUCGGCUAAAGCAAGAGAGUUGGCUUGGCAAAAAAUAACGGACAGAGUAAAUGCGUGUAAUCCUUCUGGAGCCACAAGAACUUUAAGCCAAGUCAAAAUGAAACACAAAAACAUUCUGCAAAAAGGUAAUAUUUGAUUACACAAUUACUGAACUAUUAUUAUAACAGGAUUUAGUAUAUUCAUUCUGUCAUGUAGCUAAUAGAAAGAAGACUGAAGCCCGUCUAACUGGCGGGGGCCCACCACCACCUCCCCUCACCCCAUCUGAGGAGCUGGCUCUGUCCCUUAAUAAAGGGUGACCAGUGGUUGCUGGCAUUCCAGGGGGCAGUUCAUUGCACACACCAUGCACCACAGCACUUGAAAUUGAAUUACUGGAGCAUCGCCUUAAGGAAAAAAAGAAAUACACUGCCUGGCAGACCAGUGCAAAAAAAUUAAUAAAAGUAAUUUUGACAGAUCCUGUCUCUCAAAAGUCUUCAGUCUCUGUUGGCCUCUAAAAUCUGUAGGUGUUCCUCUGGGCCAU
Long non-coding RNA from Tachysurus vachellii, 748 nucleotides. RefSeq lists it as uncharacterized. The record is from RefSeq and is a predicted model, not a curated record. NCBI's taxonomy places the organism in Eukaryota, Metazoa, Chordata, Actinopteri, Siluriformes, Bagridae. The transcript has 3 exons.